AUGCUGUCUCAAGCCCAGCUGGAGAAUCUCUUCCUUCAGUCUGCAAAGACAGAGCGCUGUAUAAGGAAUGGAAGGAUCAGUGCAAAAGGCUACCUGGCUGGCUUUGGGGAUCAUUCCUUUUACGCGAAGAAAAACAUAAAACACAUCUAUUUAAGUAAUCCAGAGUACUUUGCCCAAUUGCUAUUCAGGUAUUCAUUUCUAUAAGAAAUAUUACUCACAGCCACAGUGCCAUACUAAUAGCACCCUGUGGUAACAUACACAUCAGGACAAAGCUGAGGCAUUUCUGGAAAAGAAACAUUAAGGAUAUUGUGAAACCAUGAUUUUCAAAGCUUGAGAUCAUUAUCUCAUCUCAUAGUGUGCUGUUUCAUGGAUUUGCUUAUAUUCUCAACCCAAAGAUUGAAUGAUGAAUAUAAUUAUACCAAUAGGGAAUCUGACAAGACAAUCAGAAACAAGGUCACAAUUAGGGAUAUUAGUUGAACAAAGUGACAAUUAUUUACCAACAUAAAAUGAAAACAUGAAUUUCUAAAAUUUAGUUCUUGCUUUAAGGAAACCCAGAAGGAUCAUUUAAAUUAGAAUUUCAUGUUUGCUGCAACAAAAUAAGAAAACUCUAUGGAAUGUUUUGAGUACUUAAAAUUAGGGUGAUGAAAGUCCUUGUUUAUGGGGGAGGGGAUUAAUUCUAUUUUAUGCCUAUUAUCCUGUCUUAAUUAUUAAUGCUACAUCUUUUCACUCUCAAAAUUGCCUUUAAUGGAGUUUGAAAACAUGUGUUUAAUUAACAUGGGUGUUUGUAUCACACUAAUUCCAAUAAAAAUAUAAGGGAAAAUGUGUUUAAAAUUUGG
RNAcentral lists this long non-coding RNA (836 nucleotides) under Sus scrofa (pig). RNAcentral describes it as "lncRNA (ENSSSCG00025065308.1)". The record is from RNAcentral. Lineage: Eukaryota; Metazoa; Chordata; Mammalia; Artiodactyla; Suidae.